This 841-nucleotide ribosomal RNA is filed under the name Aquanectria jacinthicolor. Its description in RNAcentral is "SSU rRNA". It matches the Rfam family "Eukaryotic small subunit ribosomal RNA", at positions 95 to 945 of the family's 1831-position model. The record is from RNAcentral. Lineage: Eukaryota; Fungi; Ascomycota; Sordariomycetes; Hypocreales; Nectriaceae.
GGCUCAUUAUAUAAGUUAUCGUUUAUUUGAUAGUACCUUACUACUUGGAUAACCGUGGUAAUUCUAGAGCUAAUACAUGCUAAAAAUCCCGACUUCGGAAGGGAUGUAUUUAUUAGAUUAAAAACCAAUGCCCUUCGGGGCUCUCUGGUGAUUCAUGAUAACUUCUCGAAUCGCAUGGCCUUGUGCCGGCGAUGGUUCAUUCAAAUUUCUUCCCUAUCAACUUUCGAUGUUUGGGUAUUGGCCAAACAUGGUUGCAACGGGUAACGGAGGGUUAGGGCUCGACCCCGGAGAAGGAGCCUGAGAAACGGCUACUACAUCCAAGGAAGGCAGCAGGCGCGCAAAUUACCCAAUCCCGACACGGGGAGGUAGUGACAAUAAAUACUGAUACAGGGCUCUUUCGGGUCUUGUAAUUGGAAUGAGUACAAUUUAAAUCCCUUAACGAGGAACAAUUGGAGGGCAAGUCUGGUGCCAGCAGCCGCGGUAAUUCCAGCUCCAAUAGCGUAUAUUAAAGUUGUUGUGGUUAAAAAGCUCGUAGUUGAACCUUGGGCCUGGCUGGCCGGUCCGCCUCACCGCGUGUACUGGUCCGGCCGGGCCUUUCCCUCUGUGGAACCCCAUGCCCUUCACUGGGUGUGGCGGGGAAACAGGACUUUUACUUUGAAAAAAUUAGAGUGCUCCAGGCAGGCCUAUGCUCGAAUACAUUAGCAUGGAAUAAUAGAAUAGGACGUGUGGUUCUAUUUUGUUGGUUUCUAGGACCGCCGUAAUGAUUAAUAGGGACAGUCGGGGGCAUCAGUAUUCAAUUGUCAGAGGUGAAAUUCUUGGAUUUAUUGAAGACUAACUACUG